RNAcentral lists this ribosomal RNA (457 nucleotides) under Starmerella bacillaris. RNAcentral's name for it is "eukaryotic LSU rRNA". The stretch from base 159 to 307 matches the Rfam family "5.8S ribosomal RNA". The record is from RNAcentral. Lineage: Eukaryota; Fungi; Ascomycota; Dipodascomycetes; Dipodascales; Trichomonascaceae.
AGGUNUCCGUAGGUGAACCUGCGGAAGGAUCAUUUCUGAAGGCUUUUUGCCAAAACCACUGUGAACAGCUUAGACUUCGGUCUUUGCAAUUGCUUGGGUGUCGAAAGGCGCCCAAUCUUUAAAACUUUUAUAUUUGUUCUGAAACAAUGAAAAUUUAAAACUUUCAACAACGGAUCUCUUGGUUCUCGUAUCGAUGAAGAACGCAGCAAAGCGCGAUAGGUAAUGCGAAUUGCAGACGUGAGUCAUUGAAUUUUUGAACGCAUAUUGCGCUAUUAGUUUGUCUAAUAGCAUGCUUGUUGGAGUGAUAAUCUUCCUCUCAACCAUUUUUGGUAUGAGGUCUUGCUCCUUUUAGGAGUUAAAAUCAUGGAAGUGCACACGUUAAUUAACUCUGUGCAGUUAUACACUUUUCAUCCUCCAAUCAAGCAAGGUUACCCGCUGAACUUAAGCAUAUCAAUAA